Long non-coding RNA from Gasterosteus aculeatus aculeatus (three-spined stickleback), 1686 nucleotides. NCBI's taxonomy places the organism in Eukaryota, Metazoa, Chordata, Actinopteri, Perciformes, Gasterosteidae. The record is from Ensembl.
GGAGACAGGGUGAGAGCACACUGGAACAUCUGGAGAACAUCUGGACCACAGAGCAGCAGAUCAACCAAUCAGAGAGCAGGAGCAGAGAGGAGGAGGGUCAUUCGGUGAUUGACAGCUGAUAAGCGACAGAUCCGUUGAUCGGAGGAUGUUGAUGUGGAGGAGCUUCCUGUGUGUGUCUCUGGUCUGCGGUCUGACCCUGGACCAGAACUCCAUCAGGUCCUCCAAGGAGACCACGCAGCUCCUGGACCGUUUCCAUGGUGACCAGGUGGAGCGUCCCGUGCGGCGGCGGACAGAAACCACCUUCAAUCCCAACAGAAGACAGACAGCUCGGUGCUCGACUGAGGACUGCUACGGAGCGCCGGUGGGAGGCUGCAGUAACAGAGCUCAGAGGAGACCGUCCCCACAGGACAGACCGGUGGACAGAGAGACGGACAGACAGAUCCACACAGACGGCUUCAACAGAACCAAAGCUGUGGAGAUGGCGGUCUGCGUGCGUUCCGGGGACUGCGCCGCCGGGCUGUGCUGCGUCCGGUACCUCACCGGGCGGCGGUGCCAGCGGAUCCCGGUGGAGGGCGAGGCCUGUUUGCUCAAAGGCUCGGGCAAACUGAGGAGGAAGCUGGGCCGCUGCGACUGCGGCCCGGGUUUGUCCUGCGGCGCCGCAAGCCGGGCGGAGUCGGGCCGGGCGAAGGGGCAGGGCGUGUGUAAGCCCCGCCCCCCUGGGCAGGGCCACAGGAACACAAGGCAUUCUGGGAAGAAAAGGAGGACGGCCUGUUGACACUUCAUGAACUCUGUUAAUUUAAGUAUAAUUAUUCCCACGAGUUCAGACGGUAGAACAGUGGUUCUCAAACCGCCGCCUCAUCGCCGCCCGACGGAGACGGAACCAAACGGCCCGUGCUGAGUUUUUAUUGAAAUAAGGCAUUGUGUGACUGUGUGAGUCUGUGUGUGAGUCUGUGAGUCUGUGUGAGUCCUGUGGGUGACUGUGUGAGUCUGUGUGACUGUGUGUGACUGUUUUAGUCUGUGUGUGACUGUGUGAGUCUGUGUGACUGUGUGAGUCUGUGUGUGAGUCUGUGAGUCUGUGUGAGUCUGUGUGAGUCUGUGUGUGAGUCUGUGAGUCUGUGUGAGUCUGUGUGUGACUGUGUGAGUCUGUGUGACUGUGUGUGACUGUGUGAGUCUGUGUGUGACUGUGUGAGUCUGUGUGAGUCUGUGUGUGACUGUGUGAGUCUGUGUGACUGUGUGAGUCUGUGUGAGUCUGUGUGACUGUGUGUGACUGUGUGAGUCUGUGUGACUGUGUGAGUCUGUGUGAGUCUGUGUGUGACUCUGUGUGAGUCUGUGUGUGAGUCUGUGUGUGAGUCUGUGUGACUGUGUGAGUCUGUGUGAGUCUGUGUGUAACAGCAUAAAGAACAUGUACCUUUCAUUUGAAACAGUUCUGUCCAAAUGUAAAACUUGUAAAGAGAAGAAGCAGGUGGACCAAACUGAUGUUCCACUGUGGAUCCAUCCGUCUUCUCUACGUAGUUUGUGUGUCUGUGUCCUUGAGCAAGGCACUGAAGCCCGGUGCUUCACACCAGCAAACUGCUCCUUAAUUACUAAGAAGGAGUAAAAUGCAGAGAAUAAAUUCCCCAUGUGGGAUUAAUAAAGGAUUAUAUGUAUAUUUCCCAGUUUGAGAACCACUGAGUUAGAAGAAUGUUU